CUUUAUUGGAGAGUUUGAUCCUGGCUCAGGAUGAACGCUGGCGGCGUGCCUAAUACAUGCAAGUCGAGCGAAUGGAUUAAGAGCUGGCUCUUAUGAAGUUAGC
RNAcentral lists this ribosomal RNA (103 nucleotides) under Bacillus cereus. RNAcentral describes it as "partial 16S ribosomal RNA". It matches the Rfam family "Bacterial small subunit ribosomal RNA", at positions 1 to 96 of the family's 1533-position model. Lineage: Bacteria; Bacillati; Bacillota; Bacilli; Caryophanales; Bacillaceae. The record is from RNAcentral.